AUCUUUUUAGUAUUAAGCUAGUAUAAGUGACUUCCAAUCACCAGGACCUGGUUAAAACCCAGGAAAAGAUA
RNAcentral lists this transfer RNA (71 nucleotides) under Doryrhamphus japonicus. Its description in RNAcentral is "tRNA-Gly". It matches the Rfam family "tRNA". Rfam says of the family: Transfer RNA (tRNA) molecules are approximately 80 nucleotides in length. Lineage: Eukaryota; Metazoa; Chordata; Actinopteri; Syngnathiformes; Syngnathidae. The record is from RNAcentral.